CACCUCCACGCAGGAGGGCGGAACGGAUGGAUUAUGGGAUUUAUCCAGGAGUCAUUUCUUACCGAGUAACAGGACUCCGUGGCAGGCGGACAGGCGAAAUUGCGGCGGGGUAGACGUUAAACGCUGGAAAAUUAGGGAGGGGUAACCCUAUCUGCCCACUUACAAAUGUCCGAUAAUCCGGUACAUGUGCAGGCCACUGAGGAGAUACUCUCCCUUUUAAGCCCCCUUGUCGGUCCCAGCAGAUCUUACAGCGUUUGGCGUGGAACACAAAGUCACAUGCAAUUAAGUUCGCAAUCCUGACAAAGACUCUCUAGGGAUGCGGGAACCACAAAAGUGGGAAACUCCCAUUUGUUGGGUUAGUAGCGAGCGACGCGAUGAUUCAGAGUGAUGCAGCAGAAUGUUCAGUUUUUCCAGGAUGAUUUACAUCCUCAAACAGCAGAGAAGGACACAUGCUGAAGACGCCACAGCUCUGAGUAUUCUCCGCUCCUGUCCACUGCCGAGGGGAAAGUCUGCCUCUGUUUUACUUUCCGAGCGCCAGGUGAAGAAAGAGGGGUAAAUGGGAGUCAUAAUGGGAGUCAUUAUUCCCCGCCGGCGACAGCAGAAGACAGGACGGAGUGUGUCAUGUGUGAUGACAGAGACUAAAGUAAAGCAUGAACGAGGAACAGCUGAAGACAUGCAGGACGGAGUGUCAUGUGUGAUGACAGAGACUACAGCAUCCUAAAGAAAACCGUGCGCGAUGAUGCAUUCGACGGAGAAAGAGUGUGUGUGUGUGAUGGACGAUGAACAGAAGCAGUAGAUCUGGUCAGUGUACGUGCACGCGAGCGGGUCACACACACAUACAACUCAUUUAUUACUAAGUGACAGUUCCAUACUCAACUAAAUGAGGCUUGACCUGCCGCCUGCCUGUUUAUGCCUUCAUUCAAAUGUCUUAAUUGCGUGUGUGAGAUCAAGUACAUCAUGCAUAGACGUGGCCCUCAUUCAUGAACGACCAUCUCUCCAAACCACACCAAACGCCGCGGGUUUGUGGAAGCAUGAAAACACACACAGCGCUCAUAACAUUUUCCACCAUGUGAACUUUUUGUGUUGUUUGACACUGCUGUUGUAAUAUGUGUGCAUGGCUUAUUUUCAUUCGGAAAUUUCUCGGGUUUGUUUCUCGCGUCAGGUUUUGGGGUUUUUUUGGAAGUGCAUCAAUCCAUGAUAAAAGUGUAAUAAAGACCUUCUGAAGUGAA
Pimephales promelas (fathead minnow) is the source of this 1229-nucleotide non-coding RNA. The record is from RefSeq and is a predicted model, not a curated record. Lineage: Eukaryota; Metazoa; Chordata; Actinopteri; Cypriniformes; Leuciscidae.